AUGCUGCAGCCUUUGAAAUGCUAAUUAAAGUACCAAUCCAGAAACAAGAAUGAGUGCAUCUAGCCCAAAAAAAGUGCAGCUGUGGAUGAGCUAUAAGACUCAAGGUGGACCUGAUACUCCGGGGAAGAGUUCCGAUAUUUUGUUGAAAACAUCCAUAACCUGAGAUUAAAUGAUACAUAUUACAUUUAAAAGGAUAACUGCAGGCAGAAGCAAAAGCAAAUCCAAGGGGCUCAAUAUAUUAAUAAAAAAAUGGCCUUAAUGGCAUAAAUGAUUUGAAUGUGAACGUGCAGAACAAGCAUCACUAUGAUCACAAUUAAA
Molecule: long non-coding RNA, 318 nt
Filed under: Vitis vinifera (wine grape)
Lineage: Eukaryota; Viridiplantae; Streptophyta; Magnoliopsida; Vitales; Vitaceae
Description: long non-coding RNA (VVIN_LNC006278)
Source: RNAcentral